GACGAACUUUGGCGGCGUGCUUAACACAUGCAAGUCGAACGGAAAGGCCCUGCUUUUGUGGGGUGCUCGAGUGGCGAACGGGUGAGUAACACGUGAGUAACCUGCCCUUGACUUUGGGAUAACUUCAGGAAACUGGGGCUAAUACCGGAUAGGAGCUCCUGCUGCAUGGUGGGGGUUGGAAAGUUUCGGCGGUUGGGGAUGGACUCGCGGCUUAUCAGCUUGUUGGUGGGGUAGUGGCUUACCAAGGCUUUGACGGGUAGCCGGCCUGAGAGGGUGACCGGCCACAUUGGGACUGAGAUACGGCCCAUACUCCUACGGGAGGCAGCAGUGGGGAAUAUUGCACAAUGGGCGGAAGCCUGAUGCAGCAACGCCGCGUGCGGGAUGACGGCCUUCGGGUUGUAAACCGCUUUCGCCUGUGACGAAGCGUGAGUGACGGUAAUGGGUAAAGAAGCACCGGCUAACUACGUGCCAGCAGCCGCGGUGAUACGUAGGGUGCGAGCGUUGUCCGGAUUUAUUGGGCGUAAAGGGCUCGUAGGUGGUUGAUCGCGUCGGAAGUGUAAUCUUGGGGCUUAACCCUGAGCGUGCUUUCGAUACGGGUUGACUUGAGGAAAGGUAGGGGAGAAUGGAAUUCCUGGUGGAGCGGUGGAAUGCGCAGAUAUCAGGAGGAACACCAGUGGCGAAGGCGGUUCUCUGGGCCUUUCCUGACGCUGAGGAGCGAAAGCGUGGGGAGCGAACAGGCUUAGAUACCCUGGUAGUCCACGCUGUAAACGGUGGGUACUAGGUGUGGGGUCCAUUCCACGGGUUCCGUGCCGUAGCUAACGCUUUAAGUACCCCGCCUGGGGAGUACGGCCGCAAGGCUAAAACUCAAAGGAAUUGACGGGGCCCCGCACAAGCGGCGGAGCAUGCGGAUUAAUUCGAUGCAACGCGUAGAACCUUACCUGGGUUUGACAUGGAUCGGGAGUGCUCAGAGAUGGGUGUGCCUCUUUUGGGGUCGGUUCACAGGUGGUGCAUGCCUGUCGUCAGCUCGUGUCGUGAGAUGUUGGGUUAAGUCCCGCAACGAGCGCAACCCUUGUUCACUGUUGCCAGCACGUUAUGGUGGGGACUCAGUGGAGACCGCCGGGGUCAACUCGGAGGAAGGUGGGGAUGACGUCAAGUCCUCAUGCCCCUUAUGUCCAGGGCUUCACGCAUGCUACAAUGGCUGGUACAGAGAGUGGCGAGCCUGUGAGGGUGAGCGAAUCUCGGAAAGCCGGUCUCAGUUCGGGUUGGGGUCUGCAACUCGACCUCAUGAAGUCGGAGUCGCUAGUAAUCGCAGAUCAGCAACGCUGCGGUGAAUACGUUCCCGGGGCU
Molecule: ribosomal RNA, 1347 nt
Filed under: uncultured bacterium
Lineage: Bacteria
Description: bacterial SSU rRNA
Rfam family: Bacterial small subunit ribosomal RNA
Source: RNAcentral